UGCACGCUGCCUCCGCCGGCGCCCAGCAUCUGCUCGCGCCGCCUGCCCAGAAUAGAACGUCUCAUUGUGAUGGAUUAAUCCUUUGGCUCCGGUCCUGCCCGGGUCACCAGCUCAGCCUGCGCCCGCCGAGUGCUGGCGGGGUGGACAAAGGGCACUUUAACUCAUUCAGCACAUUCCCUCUUCUCUCCUGCAGAAGGGCCCUCUCCAGUUGCGCGGCCCUUGUAUAGAAACCGAGAUGGACUUGCAAGGACCAUUACUAUGAUUAAAUGAGUUAAUACAUACAAAGUGCUUUCGACUUCACAAAAGGACAAAUAUUGUACCAGUCCACUUAUGAAUCACCUGAAAGAACUGGACAGCUCGGAAACGAGUGAAUGCAUCUUGUAAGCAGGGAGAAAACUAGAGGGAUCCAUCUGGGACUGAGUGCACCAAAACUCUUGUGUCUCUCACGGCGAAGCGCUCUCACUAACUCAAGCUGAGAUACACCCACCCUCAACACUGAACACCCCACAAUGCUGCUUGUCACAGUGAAAAUGGUGUAAGGAAAUAGAGCACACAACCUCACAUACCCCAGCUCCAGCUAAUCAGGCAAGCCUUCAGGAUGGACACCCUGUGGGGUUGCACAGUGAGGGAGCAUACCGUAUUUACUGUAUAGCUCCAGGAUUCCACAGAACCUGCAGGAGGCAGAGGCUGCAGGUCCACAUACCGCGCAUGUGCUUUACCUGAGAUGUUCCGUGCCUUUGGUCAUCUCUCAUCUGCAAGUUUUUAUGUAUAUUUGACCAACACUUAUCAAGGAAGUCCUUAUACAUAAACUGCCUCAUGUCUGCAUCUGGUUGCAAGUAUGGCCAUGCUGUCUCCUCUUUUCAUUUGACAAAAAUGCAUUGUAUGGAAAUUAGUAUUA
Long non-coding RNA from Symphalangus syndactylus (siamang), 898 nucleotides. RefSeq lists it as uncharacterized. Lineage: Eukaryota; Metazoa; Chordata; Mammalia; Primates; Hylobatidae. The record is from RefSeq and is a predicted model, not a curated record.